CCUUUCUUCAUACUUCAAACCGGCUUCUCUUAGCUUCAUCUUUCUUGUAUCCGGAUGUGAUAAGCUCUUGGACAAGGAGCUUUGGCUUGAGGUUCAUGACGCCUCUCCAUCCUCCUCUGCUUCCAAAGAGACACUCUCCAUCAGGUAAAGACAGGCACGGUUGAGAGAUAAGGAGAACACUCCACGCUUCAAGCUUCUUUUUUCUUCAAGAACUGAACUUGGCUGGUAAUGUCUUCAAGGGUUUGGUUUGAGCUGAGAUGAGAGCUGUGGAUUUACGGAAGCUCAGCUCAGGUUCUGAUGAACCUGGCUCUGAUACCAUAUGAGAUUUGAGAGCUCUGGCUGUGUAUGUGUAUGAGAAGCCAUUAGAGGCAAAGAAUAAGGUCUUGAGCUAGUUGAAUAAGAGGUCUGAUGAAACUAGUAUGAACUUGAAUCAGAA
Molecule: long non-coding RNA, 436 nt
Filed under: Brassica rapa (field mustard)
Lineage: Eukaryota; Viridiplantae; Streptophyta; Magnoliopsida; Brassicales; Brassicaceae
Description: long non-coding RNA (BRAP_LNC008415)
Source: RNAcentral